Numida meleagris (helmeted guineafowl) is the source of this 2147-nucleotide long non-coding RNA. RefSeq lists it as uncharacterized. The transcript is spliced from 4 exons. The record is from RefSeq and is a predicted model, not a curated record. Lineage: Eukaryota; Metazoa; Chordata; Aves; Galliformes; Numididae.
UUGUAUUUUAAAAUUCUUUCAUAAGAUUUAGGAAAGCAAGUAUUACUGUUUUUAUUGUUGUUAUUUUAGGGACAUUCAUCAGUGAAACUUAGCAGGGGACUUGUAACGUUUUGCACAAUUGAAGCAAAUGGUUUAGCUAAUAUCUGACAACAUUCCAGUCUAACACUAACAGGCUGUUAAUCUGCCACCAAAUAGAUUUACAGUGAAAGCUUUUCCUUUCUCUGCAGGACAAAGCAAAAUUUGAAAUAUCCCCCUCAAGCUAAUCCUCUGAAUUACUAGAUUCAAGAGAGAAUCACUUAAUUUUUUACUUGUGAUCAUAUUUCGUCUCCACUCUACCUUUUGUACUUUUGUAUCUAUCUUACAGUUUUCAUAUCAGAUUCAUGCAGAACUCCUAAUGAAAGCAGAGCAGAGAUCACAGGUUGCUCCCUGCUUCUUGUGCUUUUGCAACACACAUUUUAAAAAUAUUGCUUCAUUCUUCUGCAUGUAAGAUUUCAGUGGCAAAUAAACCUCAUCAUCUAGCAGAAGAGAGGGAAGAAUGUGCAGUGACUGGAAGGGUGUGUCAGUUUCAAAACAACUAACAGUCACUGAAAAAAUAGAAGCUUUCUGCUCAGGUGCUAGACUUGGCCUCAGGAUAUUCUCACUGGCAAGGGACAGCUCCCUGUCAUUCUUAAUGGACAAUAGCAGCCCCAAGCCAAAGGGUGAUUUAGAUUCCCACAAUGUUCUUGGACUCUUUACUAUCCAGUGCAUACAGAAGAUGUAAAUGACCUGUGUAUAUUAGUAUCAACAAUCCUUUUUGUUGGCUAAGUGGUUUGGUUAAUUACCCUGAGCAUCCCAUUGAUGGGCAAUAGAAAGAAUGAAUAUUUACUGAAGGGGAACCUGAGCAGGAGAUGAAUGUAGUAGCUCUUUGCAAUUGCUCUCUGCAGAUCAUAUUUUUUAUUUCCUACUGUAAAAAUAGGGAUAUUAGCAGAAAAUUUGACCUAGAAAGUCGGUGAGCAAAAGAUGGAUGGUGUAAAUAUGCAUGACCUCAUUGCAUUUCUGUAUGUACAACAAUUUUCAUUUCUGUUGAAGAAAUGACAUGAUGUUCUAUUGUUACUGUUUCCCUCAAAGUUAAUGUAACCCUGCUUGUUAUGUCUGUCUCACUCAUGCAGUCGUUUGUGAUUUCCUUGAGUGUUCUACCUAGUGUUCUACCUAAACAGGAAAGAACAUGUCAUAAGCAGCUUGCCAGGGAAUUUCAGAACAUUCAGAGCCCAAAUGCAUAUGAAAAAAGAAAUUUGAAAUGAAAAAGAAAGUUAAAGUGCUUACGAAGCCCACAGCGUGUGUCUAUAAUGUCCUACGUGGUUAACUUUCUCACAAACCUAUUAAAAUAUAUCUUUCACCCCAAUUGAGCGUUGCAGAAAACAACUCAUCCCCUGGACAUUAUGCUGUGAAAGGCUGGAGCCAGAGCUAAGUUUUGUUAGCAGCUGUACACUCUGUGAAAGGUCUUUUUUUUCCUUUCUGGUUAGAAGUAGGUAAUGGUACUCUCUGGAGGUUUUGUGAAGAACACUUCAAGGUAUGUUAACUGAAAACUGAAAUUAAACAGAGAGCACUCUGAGCUCAUGUCAAAAGGAUUCUGAGGACAAGGCUGAAUAAUGAAAAGAGAUUCAUCUCCUGGGUAAGGAAGGCCAUAGGCCGGUGUUCUAGAGAGCUGUACUUUUUUGCAUGUGAUUAUUGAAACAUGCAACAGAUAUUUGGUAGAAAUUCACUGUUCACGUCCCUUUAGAAGCACACUGCAAAGAUCUUUCACCUGUAAAGCUUUUUAUUGCCAUUUAAUGAUUUGCUUAAUAUACUAAGCUAUUUUGCCCUGUAUCAACCAGCUCCUGUCAAUCUCUAGCUUAAUAUGAUGUAUUUACUACAUCGUGUGCUAAAUGGGCUCAGUUGUGGAAUAAUAAUCCCUUCACAUUUAACAGGAAAACUUGGCAGGGAAAAACACUAUUUUUCCUAAGAACAACUGAAAAUAAGAAGUGGGCAUUCAUAGAUUGCCCAUAAUUGCAUCUCACAAUUUUAGACACGAGAAGAAAAUAAAUCCACAUUUUUAAAAUAGAUACUCCUGUCUUCAGGGCUUAAAUAAUUUUGAAUUGUUUACUGGGUUAGCUUAAAAUAAAGUUAGA